This 5067-nucleotide long non-coding RNA is filed under the name Canis lupus familiaris (dog). Its description in RNAcentral is "lncRNA (ENSCAFG00845024970.1)". The record is from RNAcentral. Lineage: Eukaryota; Metazoa; Chordata; Mammalia; Carnivora; Canidae.
UUUUUUUUUUUUUUGGUUCAUUAAAAAGCAAGAAAAGGUUAUGGGGGGAAGGUUUAGAUCUGAUGCUGCUUAGAGGUGAAUGACUCAAAUGUUAUCCAGAGGGCUGUGGUUUUAUCUUUAGUGACAAUUCCUUGUGAAUGCAUGUGAUGACCACCCAGCAGGAUUUCCACUUGGCUUCUGUCUCUUUUCCACCAUGGCAGCCAAACUACCCAUUGCCUCCCUGUUCUGGGCCUUCCCUUGCUUGCUGUGAUUUCAGCCAUACAUACACUGGUCACAAAGCCAAGGGUUUCCUAGAUUUCUUAACACCAUCUUUUAGGAGCCAGAUCAAGUUCUAUUUUGUAAUAAUCCACAUCGAACCACUCAUGUAAGUGAUAGUUACAGAGGUGAUACACACCCAAGUCUGAACCAACAACAUGUUAGUUUCGAAGGAAUACAGAUAAGUUGGAAAUCCACAGGCUUGUUUCACUGAUACCAUCCCUACUUUAUUUUUAGAGAAUUUCUUCUCAAUGAUUUCUGUUGUUUUUUAAAUUGUUUUGUUUUGGUGGCUAUUUGUUUACUAGAGUUUUCAAAUCUGCUAAUUUGUCUGCAAGAUGAAGGAAGUGUUUAAUUCAAAAUCAAAGUCACAGGGCACCUGCGCAGCUCUGUUGGUUAAACAUCUUAUUCUUGAUCUCAGCUCAGGUCUUGAUCUCAGGGUGGUGAGUUCAAGCCCCGUGUUGGACUCCAUGCUGGACAUGGAGUCUACUUACAAAACAUUUUUAAAAAGGUAAAAAUGAAAUCAAAGUGCUAUAAAUAGAAGAAGAAAAAACAAACUGGCAUUUUUGUUGGCACCCCACCUUACAUGUUUUCAAGAUAUUUUAAUGCAUGUUUUCCAUAAACAUAAAAAGAACAAAAUGUUUUAAAAAAUGCUUUGUGGGUCCCGAAUACCUUUUCUUUCAUUUUUCUGGCAAAACUCUAUACAGACAUAGAAAUAAUACUUUUGUUAAUUCCAACCUUGUUUUACAAUUUUUUUCACUGAGCAUCAAAUGAAGGCAAUGAAUAUUAUGAAUGCUUGCCGUUGAGGCAAAAAUCAAACAUUACGGUUUCUUCAAAGUAGGCAAGCUUUUGAAUAAAAGAUGUCAAAAUCAAAUAAUAAUGGCAGUUGCAUUAUGAACAAAGUAAUGUAUUUGCAGGGUUGAUUCAGCAGCCCCCAAGAGGUAUCACUAGACAAAGCUUUGUCCGUUUUUCUGCUGUGCCGUCUGUAUUAUGUAACUGUUGGUCUUAUGGUCACAUGAUGGCUGCUGCACUUCCAGGCAUCACAUCUGCAUUCCAAGUAGUAAAAAGGGGGCAAAAGAGCAAAGGGUGAAGAACUAAGGGAAACCUACUGAGUCUGAACCUCUUAGUAAGCUUAAUAAGCUGAAGAAUCAAACCAGUAUUUCUUAAAUGCUUGUUUUUGAUUAUAUUUUACACCUUGUUUUAUAGAUUGGUUAUUUUGACUAGACUUGUAAAGAAAUAUGGGAAUAUGAGAAGAGGAGAAAAGGAAAGAGGAGGAGUGAAACCAAGAAGGUGCAUGGCCAUAUUGGUGACGGAAUGGAAAUGUGUAUGCAUGCGUGUUGUCAACUUAACUGGAUCAUAGAGUCCCCAGAUAUUUGGCUGAACAUUAUUUCUGGGUGCAUCUGUGAGGGUGUUGCCGGAUGAGAUUAGCCUUUGACACAGGACACUGAGUAAAGCAAAUGACCCUUCCCAAUGUGGGUAGGCUUCACUCAAUCUGUUGAUGGUCUGAAUCGAACAAGAGUGGAGGACAGGAGAAUUUGCCUUUUUGUUGGCCUGGUUGAGCUGGGACAUGGGUCUUCACCUGCUCUCAGACUGCAAAUGAUACCUUUGGCUCUCCUGGUUCUCAGGUCUCUAGACUUGUGCUGAAUUAGACCACCAGAUGUCCUGGGUGCCCGGCCUGCAGGAGGCAGAUCAUGGGUUUCCUCAGCCUGAAUAAUCAUGAAUGCAUUCUUGCUAGUAAAUUUUUCUUAUAUGUAUGUAUCCAGGAGGUCUGGAAACCUAGGGGGUCGAUAAUGUAUCAGGAGAUCUGGAACCUAGAGGGUCGACAUGUACCCAGGAGAUCUGGAAACCUAGAGGGUCGACAUGUACCCAGGAGAUCUGGAAACCUAAAAGGUCGACAUGUAUCCAGGAGAUCUGGAAACCUAGAGGAGGGUCAACAUGUAUCCAGGAGAUCUGGAAAACUAGAGGGUCGAUAAUGUACCCAGGAUAUCGGGAAACCUAGAGGGUUGACAUGUAUCCAGGAGACACAAAAGCAAAGUAGACAAUGGAGGAUAUAUAUAAAGGAUGCAUAUAAAUAUGAAGAACAGUAUAUGUAGGAAGGAUACAUAUGUAGCUAUAAAGGAUACAUAUGAAUAUACAUGUAUAUACAGGAGAUGUAUGUAUAGAUACAUACUUCUAUGUCCUAUUGGUCCUGUUUCUCGGGCAGAUAUCCCGGCAGGAUCUAGCAGUGUUUGUGGUUGUACAGGAAGCCUGGGAGAAGCGUCCGUUUGGUGAUUUGGAGGCACGAGUAUAGAGGCGGACACAGCAGAGCUUUGGUUUCACGUUACCGUGGGCUGGAAUUCUCGCACUGUCGGCCUCUUGCUGGAGACCUAAGCUAGAAAAGUCUUUAAGGCAAAUCCAGUGUCUCCUUUUUGGGUAAAAUGACAGUAAUGAUCACCACCCCCGAAAUGAGGAAUGUCACAUAAAAUCACACAUUAAAAGCUAAGGCCGUCAUCAUUUCACAAAGGGAUGAGAUUGUGGACAAAGUAUCAGAGUCAGAGUUAUCCAGGGGAGGAGAUCUUGAAUGUUUUCCAUUGGAAGAGGCCCAUUUAGUUAAACCCUUGAUUGACGGUCUCUUUGGCUGUGAGGUAGGACUAGCAAAAUGUACAGGAGACGGUCGGUCUGUGCCCUCAGGGGUCUUGAAAGGUGUUCAGUGGGGAAGACUGGAAGGCGCGUGGACAAGAGGAUGGGAGACAGGAUCUCAUCAGGGGUCAGAUGUGUGGUCCAGAUCAUUAUAAUUUCUUAUACUUACGUAUGAGACCAUCCGUCUGGUCCCAUGCCUUCUGAUCCCAUGUCUCCACUCCAUUUCUAUUUCUGUCCGUUCUCUAAAGCUCACACAUGUGUGACCCAGGUCACAGAAGCAUCUGAUCGGGGUACACCAAGGUGGAAGAAGGACACAUGUUCAUUAAGCGAUUCAAAAGAACUUACGCCUGAGUUUUUCUGCAACCGUGAAACAGACUAUAUCUCACUGAGGAGACCUCCAUGCUCAUGACUUUAAAUUGCCAAAAAAUGGCAGCAAAAGUGUGUAAUUAUUCUGGGUUUUUUUCCCUACCCUCUAAUGACUGAAGACAAAGCAUGUAUUUAUGAGUUGGACACGUGUAGGCAGAUUUUUAGAAAAACGUCUAUGGGAAAAUGAGGAGCCAUUGAAACAAGCCCUUCAGAGCAGACCAUUAGGAACGGCACUCGAGAAACAUAAAGGCUGAUUCUUGGUGGUGCCCGAAAGUAGUCGAAGGACGUUCAUGUCCACGAAACGUCUGUGAACAAAGCCCUGCUGGGAGCUUACUCACGGAAGAGGUCGGCGUUACACAGUAAUGGGACUCAGGAAAUGAGCUUCUGCGUGUGGAGUUGUACGUUUGCAGUCUUUGAGCGUAUGAUUACAUUUUAUUACAACGAGGGGAAAAAAUCAGAGGUAAAGUGUGAACAAGUUGAGGGAGGCUGUUUGCCUCUUCGCAUCCAGGUGAGAUCCCAGCGGAGAACCAAGGCCUGCUCCCUGUAGGCAUUCAACUGUGUGGACCUGUGAGCAUCCUUAUAACGUGGGCGUGACAUGGACACACCUGCGUGGUGUCUCCGAAAACCAGUCUUGCUCCAGGGCGGCAAGAGGGCACGCAUUCCCAGGGGUUCCUGCCCCCCUUUUGUCAGGACUUGGUAGGCCUUGUGGAUGUGAAAGGUAGUACGCGCGUUAAAUCUACAUCGUCUGUAAUUAGGAGACUUGUGCUUAUUGAAAUGGUGACCAGUGUUCCUUCUGGAUCAUGGCAGGUGACUUCAACAGAUUCCAAGAUGCACCAAAACACACGGGAGUGUGCUCAAAAUAAAACCUGCACGACGCUCACGGGGCUGCAGGGACACAAUUGAGCGUCUCUGUCAAAACACGGCAUUCUCCGCCUACCAUGUCCCAAAAAGGAAAUGAGGCAUUUCCCUGUGCGAACCCAUUUUAUCACCAUCUGGGGUUUUAGGGCCGCAGCUCUGUAUGCGGGUGAGAGGUUAAUCAGUAAAGCAGGUAGACGGAAGGCACUUGUCCCUCUUUCUUUUCAGCCUGCUUUGGUGUACUUACCCUACACUGUCCUGUGCUCUGGGUGUAUUGUUAUUUUUGUCCUUAUUUACAGCUACACUUGACCCUUGAACAAAGUGGGCAUUAGGGGCAUGGAUCCCCCCAACAAUCAGAGCUCCGCAUGUAACUUUAGACACCCCCCAAAAAAACUUGACACUAAUAGCCUACUGUUAACGAGAAACCUUACUGAAACUAUGUAUUAGACGCCGUAUGUAUUCUUACAGUAAAGUGAGCCAGACAACGCACAGUGUGAUUAAAUUAUAUGAAAAAUGCCUUUACAGGACCAGACUGUAUUGUUGAAACAAAUCUGCAUGUAAGCGGACCCACCCAGUUCAAGCCCGUGUUGGUCAAGGGUCAAUUAUCCACACACGACGCCGGAGGGAAAAUGUCGGAAAAUAUUUUAAACCCCUUCAGCUGUAUAACCUCUCUGUAUUAUUUGGAUAUCAGUGUCAGGAUAUAAAACUAAUGCCGUGAGGAAUAUAGUGAGGCUGCCAGGUGACAGAAUUUGCAAUGAGGCUCAACCAUUGCUUUUUGAAAUAUUUUUUCUUUAGGGACGCCUGGUGGCUCAGUGAUUGAGCGUCUGCCAUCUGCUCAGGGUGUGAUCCGGGGUCCUGGGAUCGAGUCCCGCAUCAGGAUCCCCGCAGAGAGGCUGCUUCUCCCUCUGCCUGUGUCUCUGCCUCUCUCUCUCUCUGUCUCAUGAAUAAAUAAGUAAAAUCUUAAAAAAAAAAAAA